Molecule: RNA transcript, 8505 nt
Organism: Bubalus bubalis (water buffalo)
Lineage: Eukaryota; Metazoa; Chordata; Mammalia; Artiodactyla; Bovidae
Gene name: zinc finger protein 160
Exons: 5
Source: RefSeq, a predicted model, not a curated record
AAGAUCCCCUGGAGAAGGGAAUGGAUACCCACUCCAGUGUUCUGGCCUGGAGAAUUCCAUGGACUGCAUUGUCCAUGGGGUGCAAACAGUUGGACACAACUGAGCGACUUUCACUAUUAACACCCUAAUCUUGUCAACAACCCUACUGUUUUGAAACUCUGAAGAAGAAAGAAGACAGCAAGACUAUUUCUGCUGAUCUUUAUCACAUAUCCUCCCCUGACUAUAUAAACUCUCCCUGCUCCCUGCUCACCAGGCACAGUUCUUGAGGUACUAGGCUACUGUAUCCCCACUUUGUCUGGAAAAGUUAUAAAGCUACUGUUUCUUCUCCUCCAUAACUCUUGUCUCCACGUUUCAGUUUGGCCUUAGGGCCCCGAGAGCCAAGAUUUUGGCAUCAAUAUAACCUCUGGGUUCUUGUUCAAUUUAAGAGCAACCCAGACCUCUGACUUGACUUAAUGAUUUACAGCAACAUUCCUUCAACACGUACUGAUGUCUCUAGGAUGUGACAAGACCAUACAUAACACAGCCACAUAUAGACAUGCAGGACCCUUCAGUAUCAUUCAGAGGUAUAUAUGCCAAGGUUCUUGGGCCUUUGUUAUUGUCUUAUUAUUAUUAGUUUAAUAUUCCUAAUGUUCCAUCUUCAACUAUAGCAUGUGUAUUUAUCAUUUUUGACUCUUGCCUGUUGUUACAGUUUAUGGUGACAGCGUUGAAGCUUACUCCAGACCCUCUAAUUGUGGAAAAUAGCAAAGGUUAAAGAUUUCAAGUUCCAGGAAACGGCUUACUGUCAAGACCCCAUUAUCACUGAUUUAAGACUCCCACUUGGUCCCUUGUUUACCUGGGGAAAAGCCAGACACAGACUAUCCAAAAUUCCAUUCUUUGGCCUGUCAGUGAUUACCACUCCGCUGGCCCCGCCCACCGCGCCCCGAGGCCCCGCCUUCCCACCCGAGGUCCCCACGCAAGCCCCGCCCACCGCGCCCCAGGUCCCCACGCAGGCCCGAUUCUCUCCACGACCCGCCCCCAUACAGCCUCGCCCCGCCUAGGCCCCGCCCCCCAGGCCGCUCGCCCUUUUCUCUCCUGGUGCGCGCAGUUUCUCACACACCCGGAAGCUGAGAGCUGAGAGAGGUCUCGCUGCGCAGCGAUAGACCUCUGAAGACUCAUGUUGCCUGAGGAAGCCCAGAAGAGGAGGAAGGUGAAAGGAGGAAGAGUCCAGAAUGGCUCUUUCUCAGCAGAUGACCGUCGAGGACGUGGCCAUCGAAUUCACUCCUGAGGAGUGGGAAUGCCUGGCCCCUGCGCAGAGGACUUUGUACUGGGACGUGAUGCUGGAGACCUACAGGAACCUACUCUCUGUGGCUUGCAGAAUCUUAAUGCCCUGAGUAUGGAUUGAACCUGAAACUCCUGAAAUGGAAGUGCGAGGUCUUAACCAUGGGACUGCCAGGGAAGUCCCCAACUUUACUAACCUUGGUUCAUUGUUUAUUGUGGAAUUAUCUAAUAAACUUUGGUUUUUGUUAAUAACUACAUACCUAAAAUUUACUGCGGAUAAAGUCAUUUUUUUUAGAAAAAUUAUUUAUUUGGGUGUUCUGGGUCUUUGUUGCUGCCUGGUCUUUUCUCUAGUUGCCAGCAGUGGGGGCUGUUCUCUAGUCGUGGUGCAUGGGAUUCUGGUGGUGUCUUGUUGCAGAGCAUGGGCUGUAUGAUGCUUGGGCUUCGGUAGUUUCAGCACGUGGGCCUAGUAGUUUGGGCUCUUGGGCGUUACAGCACAGGCUCAGUAGUUGUGUCACUUGGUCUUAGUUGCCCCGAGGCAUGUGGCAUUAUCCUGGAGCAGAACCCAUGUCUUCCGCAUUUGCGGGUGGAUUCUUUAGCAUUGCACCAGGAGAGAUGCCCUCAUAUUAUUUCUGAAUACAGGUAUUUUAUAGAGAUAGGACUCUAAGUAUUCUAUAUAUGUUUUUUAUAUGUCUACCACUUUUUUUUAAACUAAUAUAGUAUUAGAGUUGAGACGUCCCUGUUGGUACAGUGGAUAAGAACGUGCCUGCCAAUGCAGGGGAUAUGGGUUUGAUCUCCCUGGUCCAAGAAGAUUCCGCAUGCCCGGGAGGAACUAAGCCCAUCCACCACAACUACUGAGCCCAUGCUCAAGAGCCUGUGAGCCAAAACUGCAGACCCCAUGUGUUGCAACUACAGAAGCCUUGUGCCUGCAGUUCACCUACAACCUGUUCUCUGUAACAAAAGAUGCCAUUGCAGUGAGAAGCCCACUCACCAAAACUACAGAGUAUCUCCCGCUCAGUGCAACUAGAAAAAGCCACACAAAGUAACAAAGACCAGCACAACCUAAAUAAAUAAACAAGCUUUAAAAAAAAUGUAAUAUUGACAAACUUAAGUACAGUUGAUUCAUUUUCAUGGCCCCAGAGAUGCUGAAAUACAUAUGACUAAAAGUGACAAUGAGAAAAUGAUUUAAAAAUGUGUCAAGAGGCAACUCUUCAUUUCAGUCAAUUGUGUAUUUACAUGUGCAUGCAUGUGUGCAUGGAUAUGCAACUCCAUGGUUUUAUUACAAAACAUCAUCUCAUAAAUAAGCUUUGUACUUUUUAACAGUUGAAAUUAUAUCUUAAAUAUAUUAUGUAGCCUUAAAUUUUUUCUACCCCAGCACAGGAAUGAUUUAAAUAGUAAUAAGAUUACUGAUAUUGUGUUGGGUGGAGGGGUUGAGGAGUGACCCUAUACAAUGACCUUUUAUGGCCUUCCAUUGCUCUUCAAAUUCCUUGAUGUUAUUUGAGGUUUCUCAGGGAACUCUGAUUGAUGGACUUUUAUGCUCUGUUACUUAACUGUUUGAUUCCUUAGGUUCAAAGGAAUUUGACUUGACUUUACUCCCUCCUCUUUUAGUAUAAAAGGGGACUGAGUUCUAACUCGGAUAAGAUGGUUUUGGGGGUACAGUCCACCAUAUUUUCGGUUUGCUGACUUUCUGAAUAAAGUCGUUAUUCCUGCCCCAGCAACUUGUCUCUCAAUUAUUGGCCUGUUGUGUGGAGAGCAGUAGAAGCUUAGAAUGUGAACUAAAGGAACAAUGCGGUUUUCAUCAAUAUUUAAAGAUGUAUUGCUCUUUUUGGCCACAUGAUGCAAAGAGCGGACUUAAUGGAAAAGACCGUGAUACUGGGAAAGACUGUGGGCAGGAGAAGAGGGCGACAGAGGAUGAGAUGGUUGGAUGGCAUUACCCACUUAAUGAACACAAGUUUGAGAAAACCCUGGGAGAUAGUGAAGGACAGGGAAGCCUGGUGUGCUGCAGUUCAUGGAGUUGCAAAGAGUCAGAUUUGACUUAGCAACUGAUCAAUGAAAAUUGCUCUUUUUAAAGCAAUGGUUAGUAAACUUUGUCAGUUUCAAAAUAAAAACAAAAAAAGGUACUGACGGAAGUUCCCAUCACAUACCUUAGUCCUCCAGUAUCAGACUGUAGGUUUUAACCUUGUGUUUCUGGAACUGAGCCAUGUGGAGUUUGGCCUUCCAGCUGAAUGAAGAACGAAGAAGAAAAGUUGUUAUACGGGAUGUCACUGUAAAAUGGCACGUUUUCCCCAGGGAUAGUUUUGUAUUUCUUAGUUUGCAGUACAGAGAGAAAUUCAGAAAAAUUUCUUGUUUUCUUAAGAUGGUUCAAUUAUUGUAAUGGCAGGAAAUGUUCUGCAUCCCAUUACCGCCCUAUAGGAACUAUUUGGAGACUUAGGUUCCCAACCCCUGAAUUGCCAGAAGCAGCACAGGCAAGAACCUGCUGACAAAAACAUUUAUUUAUUUAUUUAUUGCACUUGAAAAUAUGUGGCUUAUUUUUAAAUAACCCACAUAUUUUUUGGUAUUGAUUUCUCACAUAGUUUCACAGUAAUAAGAGAAUAGGCCCUGUAUGAUUUCAAUACUCUUUAUUUAGGCCAUGAAACUUUUGCACCUUGUUUUACGUCAUGUUGCAGUGUCUCCUGGUUAAUACUCUAUGGCAACUUGAAUAAAAUUUGUAUCCUGCUCUUGUGUGAAAAUUGUAUAAGUCUUAAUUAUGUUGAAUUGGUUCACAAUUCUUUUCAGGUCGAGUAUAUCCUACUUUCCUGUCCAUUCUAUUAAUUUUUGAGAGUUUAAUACUGAAAUUCCAACUAAAAAUCUUAAUUUGUCUACUUAAAAAUUGUAAUAUAUAGUGGAACUGUCUGUAACUAUUUUCAAAGCCUCAUGUAAAUGUGUUGUCAUACUUAAGUAAUUUCAAAAAAUUUUAAAAAGGAAAAUACAAUCUUUAUUGAAACUUUUCUACUUGUUAGGAGGACAUAUCCUAGUUUCCAACGUACUGGUCUACAAAGUUAUAAGCUUUUGUCUUAGAAGUGUAACGGGGUGACACAGCGACCUGGGAAGGCCGGCCGCCUCUGCGGCCAUGGCGGCUGGAGCCCCGCCACAGCCAUGCCUCUGGUCCGCGGAACCCGCCAGCUUUCUCUUCUCCACUGCGCCCAGUGCAUGUUUUCUUCGCAUCCAGAGGGGGAGCGCAAAGUGACCCAAAUCCUCAAAAUUUCCAGGAGGCUGUAGGGGAAUGUAUAAAGUUCAAAUUAAAUCGGAAGAAUUUAAGGAGAAGAGAACUGUCUAGCAGCCAACAGGCACUAAAUGAAGAAAUCAAGGAUAGGCACGGAUUGCACAUUUUUAAGUCUGUCGCCAAACACCGACCAUACCCUGGCUGCUUAGAUGUUGUUGCUAAAACACUGGAUGAAUCUUACUAACGGGGGCUUCCCUUGUGGCUCAGAUGGUAAAGAAUCCGCCUACAAUGCGGAAGACCUGGGUUAGACCCCUGACUUGGGAAGAUCCCACGCAGAAGCUAAAGACUACCCACUCCAGGAUUCUGGCCUGGAGAAUUCCAUGGACUGUAUAGACGAUGGGUUCGCAGUGUCGGAUACGACUGAGCGACUUUCACUACAACCACCGUUCUUUCCUCAACAUAUGACAAAAAGUUUAUUUUGUUCAUAGUCAUUUCCAUAUUGUAAUUAUAGAAGAAUAUGCUAUCUAUUUAGAUGUUAAAUGCAACUAAAAAACAGGCUGUAAUUUAUGGGGCAUCAGUUCAUUUCAGUUCAGUUCAGUCGUUCAGUCGUGUCCGAUUCUUUGCGACCCCAUGAAUCGCAGCACGCCAGGCCUCCCUGUCCAUCACCAACUCCCGGAGUUCACCCAGACUCACGUCCAUCGAGUCAGUGAUGCCAUCCAGCCAUCUCAUCGUCUUAAACACCUCCCUGCACCUUGCCCCGCCUUGCUCUCGCUGUAGACCGGGAUGCUCCUCGCCCCGCCCCUCACAUGCAGCGAUCCGCCCAACCCACGACCCGGAAGUUCCGCCUCGGAAUCCACGCCUGCGCAGUUUCCUGCGGAAGCGGAAGGCCACGAGAGAAGGUCGCUCUGGGGCACUUGAGUUUUUUUUCUCCUAGUGUAAACGGGUGCUGCGCGCUUAGCCGUCCAACCAGCCCUCGCCACGCCCAUCUUCUGCGUCCCGCUGGUUCUGCGAAAGUAAUAUCCCAAUACCCCGCCGUCCGCCCCAAAUAAACCCAGAGGCCGCGGUUACAGGUCCAGUAUUCGAGAUCGCUCUGAGGCUUGUCCUUGCCUUUUGCUUUUCGGCCUUCGGCUCCGGAGACACCGCCUUUCGGGAUAUUUUCCUGCUUAAAACUUAACCAUUAGUACCUACGCUUGUGCCUUGUAAAGUCCCCGGGCGCGAGGGGGAUUCGGGCACGCCCACCUCCACCGCCUCACCCUGUCGGCCCCUGGAGGUCGCGUCGACAGCCCCGCUCCCGGAGAAGCCGCGUCCUCUCCCCUGUCCUGCGAUUCUGGAGAGCCCGCCCGGCCGGAGACCCCCUUCACUCCCAGCCUCUCUGCCCUCGCCUCUCCUGAGGCCCAUCAUUCUGCCCCGCAGGCCUCCCUUCCUGAUACGUGGACGAGGGGGAUCAGAAGAAGCAGUGACUGAGAGUGAAAGGCAAAGUCAGAAGUGGAAAACAAUGAGAGAACCGACGGGGUCGCCCAGGAUGGCUGAGGCAAUUGCAAAGGGAUGCUAAAAUGAAAUAGAGUUAGCCCUUAAAGUAGCGGGUGGGUGAAAGAAUAAUGGACAAAGGCGUGGGAUCUCCAGGAGUUGGAGACAAGGAGACAGGGGCCCUGCGUCUGCAGUAGGAGGGCUGACAGGGGUGAUCCUAGGAGAGAAACAAGGAAUAGGUUUUGACUAGAAGAGAAGAGAAGGAAGUAAGCCUAGACACCUGGAGUGCCCCAGAGUGGGAGUGUAACAGGGAGAGAAGGGGUGUGACAAGAAGGUAGAGAGGGAGCAGAGUUGGACAAAGAGACAGAUGUAUAGAUAUUUAGGACAAUUAGAAGGGUGGGCGUGGGGAGAAGAGCAGCAAGAGGAGAAACAAGUUGCAGAGUGGGGCAGGACAGGUGUGAGGGAAGAAAUAGGAGGGCAGAAACAGCAUCCCACCCGAGGCAGUGGACACCAAAGGACUGUUCCACACAGUGAGGUCUUCCUGUUUUUGUGGUUGUGGCAAACGAAGGGGGGGAUGUUGAUUCUAAGCCUUAAGCAGCCUGUUUUCCAAACUUGCAAGAUCAACUUCUAAAAACUUAUAUUGUCUGAGGAAGAAGCUGGGAAGAGGAGGAAAAAAGGAAAGAAAACAGGAAUGGCUCUUUCUCAGGUAAAAUCAUAUUCUCAGUUGAUUCUCAGUCUGUCCUUCCUGAAAUCCCUUCUUUGGACUUACUAGUCAUGUCUGACUCUGAAGUAUCCUUCCUGACACCCGUACAUGCACACUCACCAGGGAACUUCCCUCAGGGCCUGUCGUCUCCACUUGGAUCCCAUCUCCCCAUGACCCAGUGGCCUGGACCUUGUGUGGAGGGCACCAUCCUGGGCAGGGCUUCACACCCACAGGCUUGAGAAGGGGUCUCAGUGCUGUUGGGCAGCAGGGAUUGCCUCGGGUCCUUCUGGAUGUGCAGUCUGCUCUCUGUCAAUCAGGAUUAAGAAGCUGUGGGUGGAAGUCAGGUAUUAACAUGCACAGUACCUGGUAAAAUCUGGAAGUAGACCUAAAAAGAGAAAUUUGUUCUAAAGUAAUUGAAGUUAAGUGAGUGAGUCACUGACUUCAAAAUCUUGAUUGGAAAUGGGAUGGAAAGUUCAGAAUCAGGUAUCAGUGAUAGAGGGUGUACUAUUCCAUCAUCUGUUUGAAUCUGUGACAUGAAUCUAAAUCUCUGAGAGCUGGAAAUUCAUUUUCAUUGCCUUCAUUCUUCAGAUUUUGUCUUUUCACGGUGUUCAUUUUGUGGUUUGGCACAGAGAUGUUUUUACUUUUGAUGCAGGUGAAGUUUCCUCUUCAUUGUUUAACUCAGAGAUUCACCAUUUGUUAUGGCAACUGUCUUUUUUCCACUGGGUUUUCUUAGCAUCCUUGUCAUUAGAUUUUAAAUAUAUGCAAAUGGUUGUUUCUGAACAUUCUCUUCUGUUCCCUUGGUGUAUAAAUCCGUGUUUAUGCCAGUACUACACCAUCUGGAUAAUAUCGUGAUAUGGCUUGAAAUUUUAAAAAGGGUGGCCUUCUUCUUGCAUCUUUGUACUUAUGGAAGAGCAUUUUUGCAGUUUGUGGUCCCCUUGAGAUUCUUUAUGACUUCUGGCAAGUUUUUUCUAUUUCUGCAAACAUUUCUAUUGUAAGUUUCAUAAUGAAUUCAUUAAAUCUGUGAAACGCUCUGAGUAACUUGGAAAUAUAGAGUACUGAGAUUUCCAGUCUAUGACUACUAGAUUUAUUUGUUUAUUUUGGAUUUCUUUUAGAAAUGGUUAAGUAGUUUUCAGUGUAUAUGUUUCACCUCCUUGGUGAAUUAUUCCUAAAUAUUUCACCCAUUUUUAAUACAAUAGUAAAUGAAAUUGUUAUGUGAUUUUCUUUUAACAUUGUUCAUUGUGUAUAGAAAUGCACCUGAUUUGCACGUUGACUUUUGUAUCCUGCAAGUUUGCUAAAUCUGCUGUUUGAUGUGGCAGGGGGUUUUUUUGUGUCUGUGUGGAAUCUACAGUUUAUACAUAAAAGACCUUGUCUUCUAGGAAAGAAGGUAACUUUCUAAUUUUUCACGUUGGGAAGCUUUGAUUUCUUUUUCUUGUCUAAUUGCUCUGGUUAGGGGUUUCAGUCCUUUGUUGAACAGUGAUGCAGAGUGUGCAUCCUUGCCUUCUUCCCAAUCUCAGAGGAAAAGUUUUCAGUCUUUCACCAUUGAGAACAAUGUUAGGUGUGCUCUUUUCAUACAUCAUAUAUUUUAGUUUGAGAUACUUGUUUUGGAAACAAAACAAACCCCCCAAAUGGACGGGAAUGUAUCAAAAGUGAGAACAGAGAUGAGAUUUCAGGGCAGAGAGGAAAGCACAACAUUAAUAGUGGUUGGAAACCUCUUGUAAUGUACAUAGAGAUGAUAGCUUACGGUGAAUAAUGUCAGAUUCAUGAUCUCCGAAGAAGAAGGUAUAGCUUUGGGACCAGGGACCAGGCUUGAUCACUCAAGAGCUUUUGUGUAGCAGAGUUUUAUUCAAGUAUGAAAUGGGACAGAGAAAGCUUCUGACAU